Molecule: ribosomal RNA, 113 nt
Filed under: Caerostris darwini
Lineage: Eukaryota; Metazoa; Arthropoda; Arachnida; Araneae; Araneidae
Source: RNAcentral
AACGGUCAUACCAUGUUGAAUUUACCGGUUCUCAUUAGAUCACCGAAGUCAAGCAUCAUUGGGCGCGGUCACUACUUGGGUGGGUGACCACCUGGGAACACCGCGUGCCGUUG